UACGUAGGAGGCGAGCGUUGCCCGGAUUUACUGGGCGUAAAGCGCGUGUAGGCGGUUCGAUUAGUCUGCUGUGAAAGCUCCCCGCUUAACGAGGAGAGGUCGGUGGAUACUGUCGGACUUGAGGACGGUAGAGGGGGGUGGAAUUCCCGGUGUAGUGGUGAAAUGCGUAGAUAUCGGGAGGAACACCAGUGGCGAAGGCGGCCCCCUGGGCCGCUCCUGACGCUGAGACGCGAAGGCCAGGGUAGCGAACGGG
RNAcentral lists this ribosomal RNA (253 nucleotides) under uncultured bacterium. RNAcentral describes it as "partial 16S ribosomal RNA". It matches the Rfam family "Bacterial small subunit ribosomal RNA", at positions 524 to 776 of the family's 1533-position model. The record is from RNAcentral.